UGGCCCCUAGGGACGCAGCAGUGAGGAAUAUUGGUCAAUGGGCGGGAGCCUGAACCAGCCAAGUCGCGUGAGGGACGACGGUCCUAUGGAUUGUAAACCUCUUUUGUCGGGGAACAAAGGCGCCCACGGGUGGGCGGAUGAGUGUACCCGAAGAAAAAGCAUCGGCUAACUCCGUGCCAGCAGCCGCGGUAAUACGGAGGAUGCGAGCGUUAUCCGGAUUUAUUGGGUUUAAAGGGUGCGUAGGCGGACAGUCCAGUCAGCGGUAAAAAUGCGGUGCUCAACGCCGUACAGCCGUUGAAACUGGC
Molecule: ribosomal RNA, 305 nt
Filed under: uncultured bacterium
Lineage: Bacteria
Description: bacterial SSU rRNA
Rfam family: Bacterial small subunit ribosomal RNA
Source: RNAcentral